GCAGCUGUAAACAGGGUCUGCAGCACAAGACUAGCCGAAAAAGCAAAAUAAUGGCUUGCAACAAUCCUGUUUGUGGAAGAGAUUAUGACAAAGAAGUCUGGAACCUCAGAACCACCAUAACUGUGUCUGCUACAAUUUGUGUUCUUGCAACCAGCUGAUUGAUUCAUUUUAUCAACUCUUGAAUGGUUGAUUAUCAGAACUGAAUUCAGAGCUGCUCCUGUAUGUAGUAACAUCAUUAUUGGAAGAGCAGAUUUGAGAAUGAGGGCGUUACUGCUUUAAAAACUUUAUUCUAUGGAGCUCUCCAAAUUCAUCUCAUAUUAGACUGCUUCAGGAAACCAGAUUGGUUCCUUCAAACAGAGACGAUUGUGGCUUUCCUGACUGGACUUCUAUGGAUUCUUCAUGCCAACCUUAAGGACUGUGGUCUUCUGCAUGAGACACAUCAAUUUCAAACAAGACAUUCUGUGGUGAAACACUUGAUGAAGAUGAUAUGAAAUUUUUAUUUCAUAUAACUGAAUCUCAGAAGUAAUUCCUCAGGAGCAAGAAACAUUGAAAAAUGAAAAUAAAAGGUCCAUCAAUAAUGAAUGUCUUGAGCAGUGUUCUUUUUUAGGCACAGAUCAAUGGAUCUUUUCAAGUCCAAGCAGGGAUGUAGUCAAUGCUGACCUCGAGGCAACAUUUUGCUGGCCUUGGUCCGAGUCACUGUACAGAAUCUAUGGGAAGUUCUCUCAAGCUGCCUCAUGACUCGGAAGAAUGUAUGCAAGUGUGAUAUAUAUCUACGAUGCAAUCUCAUGAUUAAAGAGAGAUAAACAAGAGAGCUUCAGAUUUUGAAGUGUAGCAAUCUCCUGAAAUGUAUGUUUUAUUUGAAAAUCAAACUAAAAUAACUUAAUUGGGCAUGUUAUUCAUUAUGAUAUGUAUGAAUGAAAGCAUUUAAGCAAUUUAGUGCUCUUGCAAAACAUAUUCUGAGUUGUAUUUACUGCAAACGCUCAGAUAUAUUGAUAAGCAUUUGCCAGUGCAUGAAGUGUUUUUAAUAAAGAGUGGCUUUUGUGCCUAUGGAGAGUUAUUAUUUCUUCAACAUUUCUUCAUACAAAUUAUUUCAGAAAUCACAAUUUGAAUAUUCCAUGACCUCUGAUAACAAGAGCAGGAUAUUUUUGGUUAUUGACACACUUUAAAAUGAUAUUAGGAGAGAAUGUACUGAAAUUGUGUGAAAAUAAUGGCAUAAUUGCUGAAGAGUCCUAUAAAGAUUGAAAAUAACAUUAUUUCAAGUUUUUCUUGAAAAAAACCCAUGGGAAAUUGAAACUGGUAUAAUAUACACAAGUUUUCAAAACAAAAUCCAAAAAAAAUUUUUGUUGGCAGAAUUAGUACACAAGCCUAUGGACAAUCAAUUGAACGUAAAUCGAACGCAAAUUUUGCGCAUCCUCCAAAAUCUUACAUAAGUUACGUUCGAUUUGCAAUCAAUUGCAAAGCUUGCGCUUGAUCUACGUUCAAUUGAUCAAACGCAACUUCUUCUUGCAACAGGAUUGAACGUAACUUGCGAUCAAUUGCAGAUUUGCGUUUGAUCGGAGGACUUACGCUCAAUUUUGGGAGUUGCGUUCGAUUUGCGUUCAAUCGCAAGUUUCUUGCAACACCCCAUAAGUCACACUUAAAUCUUUGUGAAAAAUACCCAGGUCAUAAAAUCAAUUAGGGAACAUCACAGGACCCUGUUGCAUAAACAUUAUUAUGGUAAUCUUUCCAUCACAUCGUAACAAUUCUCAACAGCCAAUAAAAAAUGGAAGUAGGAAAUAAGGACAUGAGGUACGUUUGGACCAUUUCAGAGAUACAUGUAACAAGUGUGUGUAAUCAUUCUAAUGCCCAAGUGAAAUGAUGUGCAUUAUUUGUUUUAUUAGAGAGUGAUGUAGAUCCUUAUUAUUUGAUAAACCACCCUUAUCUCAAAACAAUGACCAGAUGACCAAUUAAUAGUACCAGCCCAUAACAACAACAACAACAAUAAUAAUAAUCAAUGAUAAUAAUAAUAAUAAACAGUCAGUUUUUAUAUUAUAGCACAUAACAAAUAAUAAGUAUUCCUCUAUGUGCUUAUG
Molecule: long non-coding RNA, 2072 nt
Organism: Lytechinus pictus (painted urchin)
Lineage: Eukaryota; Metazoa; Echinodermata; Echinoidea; Temnopleuroida; Toxopneustidae
Exons: 3
Source: RefSeq, a predicted model, not a curated record